This 493-nucleotide ribosomal RNA is filed under the name uncultured bacterium. RNAcentral's name for it is "partial 16S ribosomal RNA". It matches the Rfam family "Bacterial small subunit ribosomal RNA", at positions 28 to 507 of the family's 1533-position model. The record is from RNAcentral.
GACGAACGCUGGCGGCGUGCCUAACACAUGCAAGUUGAGCGACGAACCAGGGCUUGCCCUGGGGCAAAGCAGCGAACGGGUGAGUAACACGUGGGUAACCUACCCCGAUAACCGGGACAACCCGAGGAAACUCGGGCUAAUACCGGAUGUGCUCACUGGACUUCGGUUCAGUGCGUAAAGGAAGCUUCGGCCUCCGUAUCAGGAGGGGCCCGCGGCCCAUUAGUUUGUUGGUGAGGUAACGGCUCACCAAGACCGCGAUGGGUAGCUGGUCUGAGAGGACGAUCAGCCACACUGGGACUGAGACACGGCCCAGACUCCUACGGGAGGCAGCAGUGGGGAAUCUUGCGCAAUGCGCGAAAGCGUGACGCAGCAACGCCGCGUGGGGGAAGAAGGCCUUCGGGUUGUAAACCCCUUUCAGGAGGGACGAAGGUUCGGCGGUGAAUAGCCGUCCGGACUGACGGUACCUCCACAAGAAGCCCCGGCUAACUACGUG